AUCUUCUGCCUUUUGCCUUUCAAU
RNAcentral lists this non-coding RNA (24 nucleotides) under Rattus norvegicus (Norway rat). Lineage: Eukaryota; Metazoa; Chordata; Mammalia; Rodentia; Muridae. The record is from RNAcentral.